CCACAUUGCUCAGUGGAAUAAGUCAAUCCCAGAAGGACAACUAUCAUAUGUUCUCUCUGAUAUAAAGCAACCUUCAUGCAAAAUGUAUGAUCAAUAGCCCUUCCAAUACUGUUUCUGCUACAUUUAAAGGAUUUUGAA
Long non-coding RNA from Ochotona curzoniae (black-lipped pika), 138 nucleotides. RefSeq lists it as uncharacterized. NCBI's taxonomy places the organism in Eukaryota, Metazoa, Chordata, Mammalia, Lagomorpha, Ochotonidae. The record is from RefSeq and is a predicted model, not a curated record. The transcript is spliced from 3 exons.